GAUGAGAGACAGGGGCGCACGCCGAAAGGCGGGCUGAGAAGUACCCUUUGAACCUGAACCAGAUAAUGCUGGCGGAGGGAGUCGCUCGGGACUUGCC
This 97-nucleotide non-coding RNA is filed under the name Rhizobium sp. RNAcentral describes it as "TPP sequence". It matches the Rfam family "TPP riboswitch aptamer (THI element)". Rfam says of the family: Vitamin B(1) in its active form thiamin pyrophosphate (TPP) is an essential coenzyme that is synthesised by coupling of pyrimidine and thiazole moieties in bacteria. Lineage: Bacteria; Pseudomonadati; Pseudomonadota; Alphaproteobacteria; Hyphomicrobiales; Rhizobiaceae. The record is from RNAcentral.